UACGGAGGGUGCGAGCGUUAAUCGGAAUUACUGGGCGUAAAGCGCACGCAGGCGGUUUGUUAAGCUAGAUGUGAAAGCCCCGGGCUCAACCUGGGAUGGUCAUUUAGAACUGGCAGACUAGAGUCUUGGAGAGGGGAGUGAAAUUCCAGGUGUAGCGGUGAAAUGCGUAGAUAUCUGGAGGAACAUCAGUGGCGAAGGCGACUCCCUGGCCAAAGACUGGCGCUCAUGUGCGAAAGUGUGGGUAGCGAACAGG
Molecule: ribosomal RNA, 253 nt
Filed under: uncultured bacterium
Lineage: Bacteria
Description: partial 16S ribosomal RNA
Rfam family: Bacterial small subunit ribosomal RNA
Source: RNAcentral